GACGAACGCUGGCGGCGUGCUUAACACAUGCAAGUCGAACGCACGGCCUUGGGGUUUUCUUGGGGUUGGUGAGUGGCGAACGGGUGAGUAACACGUGAGUAACCUGCCCUCUUCUUUGGGAUAACGGUCGGAAACGGCUGCUAAUACUGGAUAUUCACACAUUGUCGCAUGGUGGUGUGUGGAAAGCUUUUGUGGUGGGGGAUGGGCUCGCGGCCUAUCAGCUUGUUGGUGGGGUGAUGGCUUACCAAGGCUUUGACGGGUAACCGGCCUGAGAGGGUGACCGGUCACAUUGGGACUGAGAUACGGCCCAG
Molecule: ribosomal RNA, 311 nt
Filed under: uncultured bacterium
Lineage: Bacteria
Description: bacterial SSU rRNA
Rfam family: Bacterial small subunit ribosomal RNA
Source: RNAcentral